CCUAAUAGGAAGUUUAAGAGCAUAUGGUGGAUGCCUUGACUCUAAAAGGCGACGAAGGGCGUGGCUUGGCUGCGAUAAUCUUCGGGUAGGUGCCUAGCAACCGUUAAUCCGAAGGUCUCCGAAUGGGGAAACCCGGCUGGAUUUAUAUCUGGUCAUCAAGCACAUAAUGUGGUUAUUCAAAAAGAAGAUAAUGGAUAUUCACAUUAUGUGCUUGAAGUAUACCUAGGGAAGUGAAACAUCUCAGUACCUAGAGGAAAAGAAAACAAUAGUUAUUCUCUUAGUAGUGGCGAGCGAAAAGGGAGAAGCCCAAACCGAGCGCAUAAUUUAUUAUCUGCUCGGGGUUGUAAGGUAACAACUUUAUUUUUUCGGAAAUAAAGAAAGUCAAAAAAUAUAUUAUUAGUUGAAAUUGUUGGAAAGCAAUGCCAUAGACGGUGAUAGCCCCGUAAACGAAAAUAAUACAUCUUUCUUGUUGUUAUUCUUGAGUACCCCAAGACAUGAGUAGCUUGGGGGAAUCUGCCAGAACUAACUGGUAAGGCUAAAUACUUUUAGAGAUCGAUAGUGAACUAGUACCGUGAGGGAAAGGUGAAAAGAACCCCGAUUAGGGGAGUGAAAUAGACCUGAAACCAUAUGCUUACAAAGAGUCAGAGCCGAGCACAUAGUGUACAUUAGUCAUCAAAAAGUGAUUAGUGUUUACUAUGUGCUCGGUCAUGGCGUGCCUAUUGAAGAAUGAGCCAACGAGUUUAUAUAUGUGGCUGGCUAAGUUCCUGAGGGAAUGAAGCCAUAGGGAAACCAAGUGUUAAUAGCGCGAAAUAAAAGUCGUAUGUAUAAGACCCGAAGCCAAGUGAGCUUACCAUGAGCAGGGUGAACUUCGAUGAAAAUCGAAGGGAGGCCCGAACCGGUUGGUCGUGUAACGCCAUCGGAUGACUUGUGGUAAGGAGUGAAAAGCUAAUCGAACUUGGUAAUAGCUGGUUCUCUCCGAAAUAGCUUUUGGGUUAGCGUCUAGCGUACCUUCUGGGGGUAGAGCACUGGAUGAUUCGAAUAGGGGGAAACCUCGUCUAAUCAAUCAAACUCCGAAUACCAGAAAUUAAUUACUAGGCAGUUAGACUAUGGGGGCGAAGCUCCAUUGGUCAAAAGGGAAACAGCCCAGAUCUCAAGAUAAGGUCCCUAAAUCUAUACUAAGUGCGAAUUAAGGAUGUAGAAUUUCUCUGACAAUGAGGAGGUUGGCUUAGAAGCAGCCACCCUUUAAAGAAAGCGUAACAGCUCACUCAUCCAGAGAUUUUGCGCCGCAAAUAAUCGGGGCUAAGUAUGGUACCGAAUCUGAGGAUGUCCUACUUUUAGUAGGGCGUGGUAGGAGAGUAUUCCACUCUGCAUUGAAGGCAAAGGGGUAACCCAUGCUGGAGCGUGUGGAAGUAAGAAUGUUGGCACAAGUAACCGCAAGGCAGGUGAGAUCCCUGCCCGCCGAAAGACUAAGGUUUCCUUGGCAAUGAUAAUCAACCAAGGGUUAGUCGGGCCUAAGGUAAUAGCGAAAGCUGGAACCGAUGGACACAUGGUUAAUAUUCCAUGACCUCUAUCUCGUGCGAUGAGUUGACGGAGUGUUGUACACUUUGCGUAUUAUUGGAUUUACGUUUGAAUCGUGAGGAGUAUCUGUAGGAAAAUCCGCAGAUAAUUGCUCCAAGCGGAUCAAAGACCCUGAGCUUCGGCAAGGGGGAUAAAGUGGAGCAUGCUUCCAAGAAAAUACUCUAAGCAUAACGAGAUAGAGUCCGUACCACAAACCAACACAGGUAGUCAGGUCGAGAAGACCAAGGCGAACGAGUGAUUGUUCCUCAAGGAACUCGGCAAAAUAGCAGCCGUAACUUUGGAAUAAGGCUUGCCCAAUGCAAAUUGGGUCGCAGCUAAAGAAUCUCUGGCAACUGUUUACCAAAAACACAGCUCCCUGCGAACUCGCAAGAGGAUGUAUAGGGGGUGACGCCUGACCAAUGCCCGAAGGUUAAAUAUUGAGGGUAUAGUUCUGCUUGCAGAAUUAUGCUGAUUAAUAUAAGCCCGGGUGAAUGUCGGCCGUAACUAUAACGGUCCUAAGGUAGCGAAAUUCCUUGUCUAGUAAUUUUAGACGUGCACGAAUGGCGUAAUGACUGGAGAACUGUCUCGAGGAACAGCUCGGUGAAAAUACAAUACCGGUGAAGACGCCGGUUACCUGCAGUUAGACGAAAAGACCCCGGGAGCUUUACUAUAGCUUGAUAUUGGGUGUGUUUUUUAAAUGCGUAGCAUAGGUGGGAGACUUUGAUAUCUUGUUUUCGGAUAAGGUGGAGUCGUCAGUGAAAUACCACUCUUUUAAAAGGCACAUUCUAAUCUUAGUGGAAAAAACAUUAAGAGACAGUAUCUGGUGGGUAGUUUGAGUGGGGCGCUCUCCUCCUAAAGAGUAACGGAGGAGUCUAUUAAGGUUAGCUAGGCGCGAAUGGAAACCGUGCCGAUAGUGCAAUGGCAUAAGCUAGCUUGAUUGUGAGGCGUACAUGCCGAGCAAGUGCGAAAGCAGAGCAUAGUGAACACUAGGUUCCCUUUAGAUGGGGCCUAUGAUUAACGGAUAAAAGCUACCCCGGGGAUAACAGGCUGGUUCCGCCCAAGAGUUCAAAUCGACGGCGGAGUUCGGCACCUCGAUGUCGGCUCAACUUAUCCUGGCGCUGGAGAAGGUGCCAAGGGUUUGGCUGUUCGCCAAUUAAAAAGUUACGCGAGCUGGGUUCAAACCGUCGUGAGACAGGUUGGUCUCCUAUCUACUGCAGGCGUUGAUUCUUGAGAAGAUUUGCUCCUAGUACGAGAGGACCGGAGUGAACUAACCUCUGGUGUGUCGGCUGUCGCGCCCGCGGCAUUGCCGAGUAGCUAUGUUGGGAAUGGAUAACCUCUGAAAGCAUCUAAGAGGGAAGCCAACUUCAAGAUUAGGAAUCAUUAAGAAACCUAGGAGAUGACUAGGUUGAUAGGCUCUAGGUGUACGCACAGCAAUGUGUUUAGCCGAGGAGUACUAAUUUUUCGAUUCCUAUUAGGAA
Candidatus Nomurabacteria bacterium is the source of this 3035-nucleotide non-coding RNA. NCBI's taxonomy places the organism in Bacteria, Candidatus Nomuraibacteriota. The record is from Rfam.